Molecule: ribosomal RNA, 442 nt
Filed under: uncultured bacterium
Lineage: Bacteria
Description: bacterial SSU rRNA
Rfam family: Bacterial small subunit ribosomal RNA
Source: RNAcentral
GAGCGGAAAGGCCCUUCGGGGUACUCGAGCGGCGAACGGGUGAGUAACACGUGAGCAACCUGCCCCUGGCUCUGGGAUAGCCUCCGGAAACGGGGAUUAAUACCGGAUAUGACUGCCUCCUGCAUGGGGGGUGGUGGAAAGUUUUUCGGCUGGGGCGGGGCUCGCGGCCUAUCAGCUUGUUGGGGGGGUGACGGCCCACCAAGGCGACGACGGGUAGCCGGCCUGGGAGGGCGACCGGCCACACUGGGACUGAGACACGGCCCAGACUCCUGCGGGAGGCAGCAGUGGGGAAUAUUGCGCAAUGGGCGGAAGCCUGACGCAGCGACGCCGCGUGGGGGAUGAAGGCCUUCGGGUUGUAAACCUCUUUCACCAGGGACGAAGCGGAAGUGACGGUACCUGGGGAAGAAGCGCCGGCUAACUACGUGCCAGCAGCCGCGGUAAU